UGAUAGGUCAUCUCAUCUGGAAGGAGAGAUGGCUUAAAGGGGUACGCGGGCUUCUUCCGCGAAUCUGCUCCAGGAUGGGACUGCGUCCGAUCAGGCUGUUGGCGGGGUAAUGGCCCACCAAACCUGUAACCGGUACGGGCCUUGAGAGAGGUGGCCCGGAGAUGGACACUGAGAGAAGGGUCCAGGUCCUACGGGGCGCAGCAGGCGCGAAACCUUCGCAAUGCGCGAAAGCGUGACGAGGUUAAUCCGAGUGACUCCCGCUGAGGGGGUCUUUUGUCUGCUGUAAAUAGGCAGGCGAAUAAGGGGAGGGCAAGCCUGGUGUCAGCCGCCGCGGUAAUACCAGCUCCUCGAGUGGUCGGGGCGAUUAUUGGGCCUAAAGCAUCCGUAGCCGGUUCCGUAGGUCCUCUGUUAAAUCCAACCGCUUAACGGUUGACCUGCAGAGGAUACCGCGGGACUAGGAGGCGGGAGAGGCGGACGGUACUCCGCGUGUAGGGGUAAAUCCUUUGAUCCGCGGAAGACCACCAGUGGCGAAGGCGGUCCGCCAGAACCGCGCUCGACGGUGAGGGAUGAAGGCUGGGGGGAGCGAACCCGGAUUAGAUA
Molecule: ribosomal RNA, 600 nt
Filed under: uncultured archaeon
Lineage: Archaea
Description: bacterial SSU rRNA
Rfam family: Archaeal small subunit ribosomal RNA
Source: RNAcentral